UACGAAGGGGGCUAGCGUUGCUCGGAAUCACUGGGCGUAAAGGGUGCGUAGGCGGGUCUUUAAGUCAGGGGUGAAAUCCUGGAGCUCAACUCCAGAACUGCCUUUGAUACUGAAGAUCUUGAGUUCGGGAGAGGUGAGUGGAACUGCGAGUGUAGAGGUGAAAUUCGUAGAUAUUCGGAAGAACACCAGUGGCGAAGGCGGCUCACUGGCCUGGUAUUGACGCUGAGGUGCGAAAGCGUGGGGAGCAAACAGG
This 253-nucleotide ribosomal RNA is filed under the name uncultured bacterium. RNAcentral describes it as "partial 16S ribosomal RNA". It matches the Rfam family "Bacterial small subunit ribosomal RNA", at positions 524 to 776 of the family's 1533-position model. The record is from RNAcentral.